CCCAAUGCCAAAUCCAUGGAGAUCCGAUCAAUCCUUCUUCAACCCCAAUUCCUUCCUAAUCCACCAAUUCCCUCAUUUUGACUCAUCUUGGAUCUCAAUUCCCUCCUACUCCGCCACACAUCGCCACCGAUCCAGGCUUCGCGGAGCGCGCUGCGAAAUUCUCCCGUUUCGGCACCCUGGCCUCGCCGCUGCCCUUAAAAAUUCCGGUGAACUUCCCGGAUCCGGCAGAGAAUCCUCCGUCUCCGACCAGAUUCAGGCGAAGAUGAAUUCCCGGAAAAGAAAUGGGAUUUCCUGAGGCAAGAGAAAAGACGACAGGUCGAAUUCGGCAAAGGAAGCCGCCGAUGACGGGAGCUCAAAGCAAUCGGAAAAGAAUGUAAUAAAACCGACCAAAAGCCGCCGGAGCCGCCGAAGGAUUACAUUCAUGACCGAGCCAGAAGAGGCCAAGCCACUGACAGCCAUAGCUUAUCAGAAAGAGUGAAAAACACCCUUUUUUCUUCUAUUUUUAUCUCGUACUAGUAUUUCAUGAUUUUGAAUUUUAACUGUGUCUAAUUUAUUAGGUAUGGAGAGAGACAAUUAGUGAGAGAAUGAAGAUUAUUAAGAUCUGGUACCAGGUUGCAAUAAGUUCUAGUCAAUGAAAUUGGCAUCAGUAAAUCCAGACCUCGAUUUCAACAUGGAUAACCUUCUAUCCAAAGAUAUGUAUCAGCAUCAACUCUACUCAAUCUACCAUAACCAGAAUGUACAACACCAACAGCUGCAAGGUACAAGCAUCUCAAGCGUAGAACCUCUCCCUCUAGAUUCUAGUUUAGGAAUCGAUGGAUUCUGUGAAAAUUUAUCCAGGUAAUAAUGAUAUUUCAUUUCAAAUUUUGGAACUAAAAAAAUUAUGUAAAAAGGAGUUAUCUAUUACAAGCUCAUCCCUAUGUCACGUAACAACAAGACUAUUUCUACAAAUUUUCAAUCAAUAAAGUACCUUGGAGUGAGGCACCAAAAUCAUGAACAAAAAUGCAAAAUUUUCUUUUUCUUGUGCAAAUUUUGAUUCUAAUCCUUUCUAUUUCAGAUAUUCCAAAUCAACCAUGAUAUAACAAAAAAAACAAAGAGAUCUACAACUUUCUAUCAAACUUGGCAAAAUGGAGUAUCCAAGCUUCGAUUUUUACUAUUAACCUCAAAUUCAGUAAAUCAUAUCAUAUACAGUCAAGAUAAUUGAUUUUUCAAGAAGAUGUCAUCCUGUUUAUUGUUAGACUA
Salvia hispanica is the source of this 1239-nucleotide long non-coding RNA. RefSeq lists it as uncharacterized. Lineage: Eukaryota; Viridiplantae; Streptophyta; Magnoliopsida; Lamiales; Lamiaceae. The record is from RefSeq and is a predicted model, not a curated record.